GGUCAAGUGAAGAAGCGCAUACGGUGGAUGCCUUGGCAGUCAGAGGCGAUGAAAGACGUGGUAGCCUGCGAAAAGCUUCGGGGAGUCGGCAAACAGACUGUGAUCCGGAGAUGUCUGAAUGGGGGAACCCAGCCAUCACAAGAUGGUUAUCUUACACUGAAUACAUAGGUGUAAGAGGCGAACCAGGGGAACUGAAACAUCUAAGUACCCUGAGGAAAAGAAAUCAACCGAGAUUCCCUUAGUAGUGGCGAGCGAACGGGGACCAGCCCUUAAGUUGUAUUGAGAUUAGCGGAACGCUCUGGAAAGUGCGGCCAUAGUGGGUGAUAGCCCUGUACGCGAAAAUCCCUUUGCAAUGAAAUCGAGUAGGACGGGGCACGAGAAACCUUGUCUGAAUAUGGGGGGACCAUCCUCCAAGGCUAAAUACUACUGACUGACCGAUAGUGAACCAGUACCGUGAGGGAAAGGCGAAAAGAACCGCGGAGAGCGGAGUGAAAUAGAUCCUGAAACCGUAUGCGUACAAGCAGUGGGAGCCCACUUUGUUGGGUGACUGCGUACCUUUUGUAUAAUGGGUCAGCGACUUAUUUUCAGUGGCGAGCUUAACCGAAUAGGGGAGGCGUAGCGAAAGCGAGUCUUAAUAGGGCGUCUAGUCGCUGGGAAUAGACCCGAAACCGGGCGAUCUAUCCAUGGGCAGGUUGAAGGUUGGGUAACACUAACUGGAGGACCGAACCGACUACCGUUGAAAAGUUAGCGGAUGACCUGUGGAUCGGAGUGAAAGGCUAAUCAAGCUCGGAGAUAGCUGGUUCUCCUCGAAAGCUAUUUAGGUAGCGCCUCAUGUAUCACUGUAGGGGGUAGAGCACUGUUUCGGCUAGGGGGUCAUCCCGACUUACCAAACCGAUGCAAACUCCGAAUACCUACAAGUGCCGAGCAUGGGAGACACACGGCGGGUGCUAACGUCCGUCGUGAAAAGGGAAACAACCCAGACCGUCAGCUAAGGUCCCAAAGUCAUGGUUAAGUGGGAAACGAUGUGGGAAGGCUUAGACAGCUAGGAGGUUGGCUUAGAAGCAGCCACCCUUUAAAGAAAGCGUAAUAGCUCACUAGUCGAGUCGGCCUGCGCGGAAGAUGUAACGGGGCUCAAACCAUGCACCGAAGCUACGGGUAUCACCUUUGGUGAUGCGGUAGAGGAGCGUUCUGUAAGCCUGUGAAGGUGAGUUGAGAAGCUUGCUGGAGGUAUCAGAAGUGCGAAUGCUGACAUGAGUAACGACAAUGGGUGUGAAAAACACCCACGCCGAAAGACCAAGGUUUCCUGCGCAACGUUAAUCGACGCAGGGUUAGUCGGUCCCUAAGGCGAGGCUGAAAAGCGUAGUCGAUGGAAAACAGGUUAAUAUUCCUGUACUUCUGGUUAUUGCGAUGGAGGGACGGAGAAGGCUAGGCCAGCCUGGCGUUGGUAGUCCAGGUUUAAGGUGGUAGGCUGAGAUCUUAGGUAAAUCCGGGAUCUUAAGGCCGAGAGCUGAUGACGAGUGUUCUUUUAGAACAUGAAGUGGUUGAUGCCAUGCUUCCAAGAAAAGCUUCUAAGCUUCAGGUAACCAGGAACCGUACCCCAAACCGACACAGGUGGUUGGGUAGAGAAUACCAAGGCGCUUGAGAGAACUCGGGUGAAGGAACUAGGCAAAAUGGCACCGUAACUUCGGGAGAAGGUGCGCCGGUGAGGGUGAAGCAUUUACUGCGUAAGCCCACGCCGGUCGAAGAUACCAGGCCGCUGCGACUGUUUAUUAAAAACACAGCACUCUGCAAACACGAAAGUGGACGUAUAGGGUGUGACGCCUGCCCGGUGCCGGAAGGUUAAUUGAUGGGGUUAGCGCAAGCGAAGCUCUUGAUCGAAGCCCCGGUAAACGGCGGCCGUAACUAUAACGUUCCUAAGGUAGCGAAAUUCCUUGUCGGGUAAGUUCCGACCUGCACGAAUGGCGUAACGAUGGCGGCGCUGUCUCCACCCGAGACUCAGUGAAAUUGAAAUCGCUGUGAAGAUGCAGUGUAUCCGCGGCUAGACGGAAAGACCCCGUGAACCUUUACUAUAGCUUUGCACUGGACUUUGAAUUUGCUUGUGUAGGAUAGGUGGGAGGCUUUGAAGCGUGGACGCCAGUCUGCGUGGAGCCAACCUUGAAAUACCACCCUGGCAACUUUGAGGUUCUAACUCAGGUCCGUUAUCCGGAUCGAGGACAGUGUAUGGUGGGUAGUUUGACUGGGGCGGUCUCCUCCUAAAGAGUAACGGAGGAGUACGAAGGUGCGCUCAGACCGGUCGGAAAUCGGUCGUAGAGUAUAAAGGCAAAAGCGCGCUUGACUGCGAGACAGACACGUCGAGCAGGUACGAAAGUAGGUCUUAGUGAUCCGGUGGUUCUGUAUGGAAGGGCCAUCGCUCAACGGAUAAAAGGUACUCCGGGGAUAACAGGCUGAUACCGCCCAAGAGUUCAUAUCGACGGCGGUGUUUGGCACCUCGAUGUCGGCUCAUCACAUCCUGGGGCUGAAGCCGGUCCCAAGGGUAUGGCUGUUCGCCAUUUAAAGUGGUACGCGAGCUGGGUUUAGAACGUCGUGAGACAGUUCGGUCCCUAUCUGCCGUGGACGUUUGAGAUUUGAGAGGGGCUGCUCCUAGUACGAGAGGACCGGAGUGGACGAACCUCUGGUGUUCCGGUUGUCACGCCAGUGGCAUUGCCGGGUAGCUAUGUUCGGAAAAGAUAACCGCUGAAAGCAUCUAAGCGGGAAACUUGCCUCAAGAUGAGAUCUCACUGGAACCUAGAGUUCCCUGAAGGGCCGUCGAAGACUACGACGUUGAUAGGUUGGGUGUGUAAGCGCUGUGAGGCGUUGAGCUAACCAAUACUAAUUGCCCGUGAGGCUUGACCAU
RNAcentral lists this ribosomal RNA (2893 nucleotides) under Pseudomonas syringae pv. actinidiae. RNAcentral's name for it is "23S ribosomal RNA". It matches the Rfam family "Bacterial large subunit ribosomal RNA". Lineage: Bacteria; Pseudomonadati; Pseudomonadota; Gammaproteobacteria; Pseudomonadales; Pseudomonadaceae. The record is from RNAcentral.